GGCCUCCCUCUUUGGGGUGAUUGAUCAUGGAGCUCCGCCAUCAAUCGCCCCAAAGAGGUAGGCC
This is a non-coding RNA of Myotis lucifugus (little brown bat), 64 nucleotides long. The record is from Rfam. Lineage: Eukaryota; Metazoa; Chordata; Mammalia; Chiroptera; Vespertilionidae.